UACGAAGGGGGCGAGCGUUGUUCGGAUUUACUGGGCGUAAAGGGCGCGCAGGCGGCUAUCCAAGUCAGGCGUGAAAGCCCCGGGCUUAACCUGGGAGGUGCGUCUGGGACUGGGUGGCUAGAGUUCGGGAGAGGAGAGUGGAAUUCCCAGUGUAGAGGUGAAAUUCGUAGAUAUUAGGAGGAACACCAGUUGCGAAAGCGGCUAUCUGGCCAAAUACUGACGCUGUUGCACGAAAGCGUGGGGAGCAAACAGG
This 253-nucleotide ribosomal RNA is filed under the name uncultured bacterium. RNAcentral's name for it is "partial 16S ribosomal RNA". It matches the Rfam family "Bacterial small subunit ribosomal RNA", at positions 524 to 776 of the family's 1533-position model. The record is from RNAcentral.